UUGGGGGCUGGCGCGGAGUGUGGGGGCGGCUGGGGGCGGAGUGUGAACUCGCAUCCACUGCACCAGGGAGCCCAGUGCCGCUCCACGAUUUUUUUUAACUUGGAAUUUCCAUUUGACAAAAAGGCAAGAGGCUUCUCCUGGAUGUAGCGGAACCAUUAACAUCUAUUAAUAAGGCGGCCGGGGCAUCCUCGGCUUCUGUUGGUUUGCAUGACAGCCCCAGAUCCUCAGUGAUGGCCCUGAUUUUGUGCUUGGGAUGUGUUUCCACCCUCUGGAGGAUGAGUCCAGAAAUACUCUCCAUCCCUGGAGGAUUCCACUCGGACUCUGGCUGUCCUCAGCCAGCAGCAGCAAGGUGGUGACCGCAUGCCUGCCAGCCACCCGAGACCUCCAGGCAUGGUGUGGUGGGGCAGCUGGUGUUGUGAAUCAGGCCGUUGCCAAUCAGAGAACGGCUACUUCACAACACCAGGGUCACACCCCAUCACAGGCACCGGCUGCCGUCAAGGCUGCGCAGCGGCUCAUCUCAGGGACACAGCCAUGCCCUCUGGAAGCCCAGCAUGCAUGCAGCUGUGGCUCCUCCUGCACAAACAGCUCUACUCAUAAAAGAAAAACCACUCCUGGCUAUGGCCUUCCCACUGUGAAACGGAGCUUUCACCCCUAACCAUGAUGGCCAGAGCUUUCUGCUCCAGAACAAACACAGUGACCCAGCUCCCCAGCUGGUGUUGACUGCCUGCAGGCACUGGCUGUGUCAUCUCAUUUAGGUACAGGACAGCUUUGGGAAGGGAAGCAGUGCUGUCAAUCCCAUUCUUCCGGUGAGGAACAGUCUCAGAAGAGUGAAGAAAUUUGCUCAAGGUCUCCCAGCUGGUGAAUGGACUGUCAGACUGUCGGACUUCUUCCGACCCUGCUGAUGGGCUUCAUCCUUCUCCUUCCUGGGCAGCUCUCCCCCUGCCCCACCAACAGACCGCACCUUACCCUGGGACUGCUUGCUUUCAGAAUGUUCCAGCUGGGGGCACCCAGGUGGCUCAGUUGGUUAAGCCGCUGCCUUUGGUUCAGGUCCUGAUCCCAGGGUCCUGGGAUCCAUCCCCACAUUGGGACCCUUGCUCAACAGGGAGCCUGCUUCUCCCUCUCCUCCCGCCCCUGCCGCUAUGCACACACACGUGUACUCUAUCAAAUAAAUAAAAUCUUUUUUAAAAAUGUUCCAGCUGACAGCUUAAAACACUGGAGCUUGGGGAGAGAAAGCACUGCCCUCCUGUAGCGAACCUCCUGUAUGCAGAUUUUCUCAGGCCUCACUCAAGUGGACAAGAGUGUGUGUGUGUAAUUGGCUUUUUGACUGUGAAACUCACCUUAAUUCUCUUCUGUCUUUGCCUGUACCGUCUCUUUCUGUGCAUUGCCUGCAGGAAUACCCUUCAGUGUUUUAGAGGCACAAAACAAAUAACAAAAAACAAAACAUUGUUCCAGCACCAAACCAUUCGAAAUCAAAAGUAUUAUAGAUGUAUAGGAUAGGAUAUGAAAGUUCCUUAUAAUCCUAUCCCCAGAGAAAACCACUUAGUUUUUAAUGGUUUUUUGUUUCGUUUGUUUGUUUUUUAUAAUGAUUACCAAAGCCAUACCCUUUUAACAAUACAUCAAAAUGAAUUAAAGGUAAAUACAGGGCAGCCCGGGUGGCUCAGCGGUUUGGCCCCUGCCUUCAGCGCAGGGUGUGAUCCUGGAAACCCAGGAUCGAGUCCCACAUCGGGCUCCCUGGGUGGAGCCUGCUUCUCCCUCUGCCUGUGUCUCUGCCUCUCUGUGUGUGUGUCUCUCUCAUGAAUAAAUAAAGAAAAUAUUUUUAAAUAAAUAAAUAAAUAAAUAAAUAAAUAAAUAAAUAAAAAUAAAUAAAUAAAAUAAUAAAUGUAAACACAUGCUUCAUUGCUCAGUCAUCCUUGGCAGGCACAGGACCACAUCCAUGUGUACAGCUUGCCACAUGAGUUACCAGGUCUCCCCACCAUUGAGCCCUUGAUUUUUGACCCAGAGUAAAUAGAAUAGGCAAGGGCUGACUUGUAGUGGUUUUGAAACACUCAGUCUUGAGGUUCUGACCUUCACUGCCCAGGGUCCCCUGGGAUCCGCCACCACCCCCACAACCUCACUCCACCUUCCUGCUAGUCCUCAGACUCCCUGCCCCUAAGGCCUUCUCACCCACCUUUCCCUGCAGAGACUUCUUUCCUCCAGGUGUCAGGUUGACUCCCUUCCUCCCCUGAGGGCCACCCUGAACUUUCCUUUGAAUGUGUGCCACUGGCCACAGCACAACCCUUCCCUCCCAUCUCCCUACCUUGCUCCGCCUUGUCUCCAAGGCGUAUGUAUCACCUUUAGACUCUGAUAUAAUUCACCUGUGAUCUGGUCUCCUCCCACUAGAUGUAACCCCCUGAAGGCAGGGAUUAUUGUCAGCUCUGUUCAUUGAUAACAGCUCCAGCGCGGUGCAGGAUACACGCUAGGUGUUCAGCGCAUGUCUGUCGGAUGAGCAAAUGUGGGACCCAUCUUUGCCAAGGCCGAGGAGUAACAGCCCUUCUCCUGCUGGCCCCCAGCUUCUCCAUCCCAGCCCCUCCCAUAAAUGGCUCCCUCUCCGCUGCAUUCACAUGGCAUUUAAGCUCUGGGAAACUCAAGUUUCCAGUGCCCUCAUUUUAUUGAUAAGGAUGAUAAAGCCCACAGGAGAGGGCUCUUGGCAAAGGCAAGAAUGACUUUCGUGGGGCAUUGUGACCAGAGGCUGUCAUAGACAAGCCCAGGAAUUUUGGAUGCAUCUUGCCAAGUUUAAGGACACAGAAUACAGCUUCCCUGAGCUCCAGACUAGGUCAAGUUCCCCCAUUACUCACAUGGCACCCUGUACUUUAAAACCCUUUACACUCUUAAAGAACUGGUUUUGCAGUAUCCUUUCUCCACCAAGCAGCAAGCUUCAGAAGUGGAGAAGUAAGGCUCCCCAAGACCUGACGAUACCCGGCACAUAGUAGGUGUUUUGACGGACUCUGUCUCCUGUAGUGCCUUGCUCUGUUCUGGCACACAGGGAUACUUGACACUUUCCCCAUUCUGCAAAAGACAUUCAGUGCCUCUCUAUUCCCAGAGCCACAAAACAAAUUCAGAGACGACUGCCAAAUGGAUGGUACUACCAGCUUGGGAAGAGAGUGACCUGGUAAAGAUGCUCCUAUUUCUCUCCAUGGAGUGGUAGGAGUGACCUAGGACCUAGAGGACAGACCUAAACUGUGACUUGCAGCCAAAAGCAUUCAUAAUUUGUCUAACCAGAACUGUUCUAUCAGAAUUAUCACCCAUAACAAGAAGCCUGGAGGUAGGGAGUCCAGGACUGAUGCUGUGAUUUAAGGAUGCCAUCGAAAACCCAGGCUUCACCUUUCUGUUUUACCACCUUGUGGUCACAAGAAGGCUGCUACUGUUCAAGGCAUCACCUCCACAUUCCUCGAAGAAAAAAGGAGAGGCAGAAUGGCCAGAAAUAUCCCUCUAUUUAUCAGGACACAUAGCUUUCCCAGAAACCUCCACACAGCCACCUCCCACUUACAUCUCACUGGCUAGAACUCCAUCACAUGGCCACCUGGAGCCCCUAGAAAGGUGAGGAUUCACCUACUGAGAGCGGACAAGAUGCAGCAGUGAGGGAGGAGUGGGUCUAAGAGCUGUAGAGUUAGCCAAUAGCAUCUGCCAAAACUAUGAAAGUUAUUUUUUAUAGAACUGCUUUCUUACUACAAAAGCAAUGUGUUCCAGUUGGUUGCAUCUUUUUGACAUGGAUAAAACCAUACUAUAGGUUGCUUUAUAAUGACCUUUUCACUUGAAAUGGUGAAAAAUCUUUCCAAAUUAUUAAAUAGUCUUUACAGAAUCACAUUUUAUGUCUCUGUGUUCCAUUGAAUUAGAGACCAUGGUUUAUGCAGCCCCUUCAUGUUGGGCCUUUCGAGGUUUAUAAGGGUACAGUGUGACAAACCAACACCGGUGACUCUCCUCGUAGCUAAACUUUGCUCAACAUGCCCCUUUCUCAGAAUGUAUCAUAAGGGAAUAACCUUGGACAUGCACAGUAUUGAGAGCUUCAAGAUGGCCUGCCAAAUAGCCUUCCUGGAUGGAUUAUUCCAAUGUACCAUCCCCCCAGCAGAUACCAGUGCCCUUUUCUCCCCCAGUUUUUCACCAACACUGACAAAAAGACUGGGGA
RNAcentral lists this long non-coding RNA (4162 nucleotides) under Canis lupus familiaris (dog). Lineage: Eukaryota; Metazoa; Chordata; Mammalia; Carnivora; Canidae. The record is from RNAcentral.